UGGGGGAUAUUGGACAAUGGGGGAAACCCUGAUGCAGCAAUGCCGCGUGAGUGAAGAAGUAUUUCGGUAUGUAAAGCUCUAUCAGCAGGGAAGAAAAAGACGGUACCUGACUAAGAAGCCCCGGCUAACUACGUGCC
RNAcentral lists this ribosomal RNA (137 nucleotides) under uncultured bacterium. RNAcentral describes it as "partial 16S ribosomal RNA". It matches the Rfam family "Bacterial small subunit ribosomal RNA", at positions 355 to 509 of the family's 1533-position model. The record is from RNAcentral.